This 160-nucleotide ribosomal RNA is filed under the name Encephalartos gratus. RNAcentral describes it as "5.8S rRNA". It matches the Rfam family "5.8S ribosomal RNA". From Rfam's summary of the family: 5.8S ribosomal RNA (5.8S rRNA) is a component of the large subunit of the eukaryotic ribosome. It is transcribed by RNA polymerase I as part of the 45S precursor that also contains 18S and 28S rRNA. Lineage: Eukaryota; Viridiplantae; Streptophyta; Cycadopsida; Cycadales; Zamiaceae. The record is from RNAcentral.
GCAUGAAUCUCGAUAAUGAAUAUCUCGGCUCUUGCCACAAUGAAGAACGCAGUGAAAUAUGAUACUUAGUGUGAAUUAUAAAAUCUCGUGAAUCAUUGAUUCUUUGAAUGUAAGUUACGCCUUGGGCCUCGGCCAAGGGCACAUCUACUUGGGCGUCGCA